CCGAAUGGGGAAACCCACCGCUGGUAAUACGGCGGUAGCGUGCGCUGAAUACAUAGGCGUACGCGGACAAGCCGGGGAACUGAAACAUCUCAGUACCCGGAGGAAAGGAAAUCAACCGAGACUCCCCGAGUAGUGGCGAGCGAAAGGGGAAUAGCCCAAACUCGGCCGGUGUAAGCGCGCACGCGUUGCCGGUCGGGGGUUGUAGGGCGCUCUG
This 214-nucleotide ribosomal RNA is filed under the name Anophryoides haemophila. RNAcentral describes it as "partial Bacterial large subunit ribosomal RNA". It matches the Rfam family "Bacterial large subunit ribosomal RNA", at positions 114 to 312 of the family's 2925-position model. The record is from RNAcentral. Lineage: Eukaryota; Ciliophora; Oligohymenophorea; Philasterida; Glauconematidae.